RNAcentral lists this ribosomal RNA (1301 nucleotides) under uncultured bacterium. Its description in RNAcentral is "bacterial SSU rRNA". It matches the Rfam family "Bacterial small subunit ribosomal RNA", at positions 94 to 1380 of the family's 1533-position model. The record is from RNAcentral.
AGUGGCAAACGGGUUGAGUAACACGUGGGUAUCUGCCUUUAAGCGGGGGAUAACUCAGGGAAACUUGAGCUAAUACCGCAUGUGGCAGUAAUGUUAAAGGUGGCCUCUAUUUAUAAGCUACCGCUUAAAGAUGAGCCUGCGUACUAUUAGCUUGUUGGUGGGGUAAUGGCUCACCAAGGCAAUGAUAGUUAGGCGGCCUUAACGGGUGGUCGCCCACACUGGGAUUGAGAUACGGCCCAGACUCCUACGGGAGGCAGCAGUCGAGAAUAGUCUACAAUGGACGAAAGUCUGAUAGUGCAAUUCCGCGUGGAUGAAGAAGCAUUUCGGUGUGUAAAAUCCUUUUCUUUGUGAGCAAAGAUUUGAAGGUGAAUAAUUUUUAAAUUAAGAUAUUAGCAAAGGAAUAAGCCUCGGCUAACUCCGUGCCAGCAGCCGCGGUAAUACGGGGGAGGCAAGCGUUGUCCGGAAUCACUAGGCGUAAAGGGCAAGUAGGCGGAUUGGUAAGUUACGGGUUAAAUCUGGAGGCUCAACCUCCAGCCAGCUUGCGAUACUGCCCAUCUAGAGUCAGACAGGGGAAGACGGAAUUCCCGGUGUAGCGGUGGAAUGCGCAGAUAUCGGGAGGAAUACCGAAGGCGAAGGCAGUCUUCUAGGCCGUAAUUGACGCUUAACUGCGAAGGUGUGGGGAUCAAACAGGAUUAGAUACCCUGGUAGUCCACACAGUAAACGAUAAUCACUAGAUGUCGGGUUCUAGAUGGAUUCGGUGUCGGAGCUAACGCGAUAAGUGAUUCGCCUGGGGAGUACGAUCGCAAGGUUGAGACUCGAAGGAAUUGACGGGGGCCCGCACAAGCGGUGGAGCAUGUGGUUUAAUUCGAGGCAACGCGAAGAACCUUACCCGGUUUUGACAUCCACGGGAGGCUUCAGAGAUGGAGCUGUGCCGGCGUAAGCUGGAGCCGUGAGACAGGUGCUGCAUGGCUGUCGUCAGCUCGUGUCGUGAGAUGUUGGGUUAAGUCCCGCAACGAGCGCAACCCUUGCCUUCAGUUACCAUCAUUAAGUUGGGGACUCUGGAGGGACCGCUGCGGUAACAACGCAGAGGAAGAUGGGGACGACGUCAAGUCAUCAUGGUCCUUAUGGCCGGGGCUACACACGUGCCACAAUGGUAGUUACAGAGGGAUGCGAAGCAGUGAUGUGGAGCGAAUCUCAGAAAAGCUACCACAGUUCGGAUUGAGGUCUGCAACUCGACCUCAUGAAGCAGGUAUCGCUAGUAAUCGCGCAACAUCAUGGCGCGGUGAAUACGUUCCCGGGCC